UAGGUGCCCUUGCAGGGACAGACACCCCUGUCUGUCUGUCUGCCUGCCUGCCUGUCCAAUCCCCCAGGGUCUGGGAACCCAAUGGGUACCCGCACGGGGUGCGCACGACCCCACACAUUCAGAACUGUGGGAUUUUUAGCCCAAUCCCGAUUUUCAGCUCGUCUCCUGGCUGAGUUUCCCCCGCUGGGGCUGGUUUCCCCUUUGGGCCACCCAUGCCAGGCAGGAUCCGGCCCUGCUCCUCCCCGGAGCUGUUUGCAGAGCCCGAGCGAUCCUGCGGCGGGGCGGAGGGCGCGCGGCUCCUUAUCGCCGCGUUCCCGGGGCCGGAUCCUGCGUGCGGGCAUGUGCGUGCGUGCCGAGGGCGUGCGAGCUGCUCGGGGAGGCGAAGGACAAAGGGAGCCGGGGCGGCCGUGCCGUGCUGUGGGGUGGGAGCCUGCACCCUACAGCUGCUUCCUGGGGUGCCCAGGGCUUUGCUGUCGGUGCUGCGGGGUGCCAAGCUGUCCUGUGCCGUGCCGUGCCGUGCCACGCUGCACUGUGCCGUGCCGUGCCGUGCCAGCAGCCCGGUGGCAGCGCCUUGGCAGAGGCCCAGGGUGUGCCCAGGUUUUUGGGGGGGUCUCCGCAGCCAGGAUUGGGGUGGUGGCGCCUCCGUCUGGGCUCCCCCCCCGCCCCGUCCCCGGCACCCAGGGACUUGAAAGCCGCCCCGGCCGCCCCGGCCCUUUCAUGCGGCUCUCGGUGAAGCCUGACCCCGCGCACAAAGCCCCCAGGAGCCCAUUUGAAUCUGAAAAGGGGUCUGAGCACAGAGCCCUGACCUUCAACCCGUGGGUCAGCCUGUCCACGCCACCGCCACCACUGCCGGGCCCCCCCGGACCCCCCGACGAGCCUGGCCAGACCUGGCCGAGCCAGCAGCCCCGCGACCCCCAGGUCUGCAGCCCUAUUGUGCACCCCAGAGCCCUGUUGUGCACCCCCAACCCUGUUUUGCACCCUCACGGCCCUAUUUCGCACCCCAGAGCCCUGUUGUGCACCCCAAUAGCCCUGUUGUUCACCCCCAGAACCCUGCUUAGCACCCCCACAGCCCUGUUUUGCACCCCAAAGCCCUGCUGUGCACCCCGACACCGCUGCCCUCCAGCCUUGCCCCGCAGCCCCGUUCUGCGUCCCCGCAGCCCUGCCUGUCUGCCCUCUCCAUCUGGAUAUCGACCCGCUGAGCCUUGAACUCCGCUGCGGGAUGUCCCCGGGGAGCCGCAGCCCUCCUCGUGGCCCAGCUGUAGCUCCGUGCCUCAGUUUCCCCGACACCCUGCAGCACAUCUGUGCCCCGGGCUGCCCCCCAGCCCCCGCACCCUGGCACCAGAGACCCCCGCUCGCCCUAAUCCUGCCCCACGCUUGCCCUAAUUCUGCCCCACCGCCGUCCCAUCGCGCCG
This 1412-nucleotide long non-coding RNA is filed under the name Anser brachyrhynchus (Pink-footed goose). Its description in RNAcentral is "lncRNA (ENSABRG00000014108.1)". Lineage: Eukaryota; Metazoa; Chordata; Aves; Anseriformes; Anatidae. The record is from RNAcentral.